UGCCUAAACCCGUAAUCUUCGGGCAUGGCAAUAAAACUCGGUAAGAGAUAUUAAGCUCGUCGUCAGAGCUACUCUUACCGAGUCAUAUCCCGAAAGGGGUAUGGGUGGCCGAAAGGCUAUC
This 121-nucleotide small RNA is filed under the name unclassified sequences. RNAcentral's name for it is "LOOT RNA". It matches the Rfam family "LOOT RNA". From Rfam's summary of the family: Latescibacteria, OD1/Parcubacteria, OP11, TM7. The record is from Rfam by way of RNAcentral.